Peromyscus eremicus (cactus mouse) is the source of this 1197-nucleotide RNA transcript. It is a transcript of the gene named LKAAEAR motif containing 1, with no coding region annotated. The record is from RefSeq and is a predicted model, not a curated record. The transcript is spliced from 6 exons. NCBI's taxonomy places the organism in Eukaryota, Metazoa, Chordata, Mammalia, Rodentia, Cricetidae.
GCUAGGGUUGGCUUCCUUUCUCACUCUGAGCCAUUAUUCCUUUGUCCGCUUCCCUGGGUUCUGCUCCCCACAUCUCUACCCUGGAGAUAGGCCAGAACAGAGGCUGAGCUUCCAAAGUACUAGAGUAUGCCAUCCCCGGGAGUAAAGGGUGCACGGGAGCGGGCCAAAAAGAGUGAACCAGGAGCUGGAGCGGGCAAGAAAGGCAUGAAGGGCCCGUGGACUACAGAGCCUCCGAAGCCAGGCUGGGCUUUGACUCAGGAGAGGCUGGCGGCCAUGCUCCCCAAACAACGCCACCGCCACCUGCUCUUUGGAGACCUGCUCGACGACGCAGGCGCGGCCGCCUCCAUCUUUCCACGCGAGUCAGUGGAGAUACCCUACUGCAUGCCCGACCCACGCAUCUGGACGCAGGCAUUUGAACCACCAGCUGAGCGUCAGAAUAGGCUUCUGGGCGUUCUCAAGGCCGCAGAAGCCCGCGGCCGAGUCCGGGCGCUGAGGUUGCGCUACACCCGAAUGCGGGCAGAGGAAAUCGCUCUCCUGAUCCAGAAGCAGGGCUCUGCACGCGCCGCCAUCCGGCUAGAACUGUUCCUACCACCCCAACUGAAGCCCACGAAGAUCCCCGAUCCCCUGGGCCGUCAAGAGAAUACCACCAUGCCAAUAUGGAUAUCCUCAAGAGAUGUGCAUCCACCAACAGACCAAGAGACAUUGCUCAAAGAAGAAGUUUCAGAGGGGUUCACCAACAGAAGGCAGCCACAAAGGCGACCCUACAGGUUUUAUUGGCUCUCAGACACCUAGAUCAAAGUCCUCCGAGAGAUAAGGCAUGCAUGGCUCACUGAGAUACAGAAGGCUACUGCCUAAAGCCCACCACCCAGACAUCUCUCCAGGAUUGAUGCUCUUCGAGGGCUGGUAGUCAAUGACAGAGAUACCUAAGAUUGCUGCAGUGUCCCACACAGUGAGUAAUUCAUAUAAGUACUUCAGAGCAGAGGACUGAGAACAAAGACCAACAUCCUGAGAAGGCCAGCAAACGAUGGCACAAGAGCUCUACACCAAGUAUCAGACCAGCUUAAGCGUGCCACUUGAUCUCCACAUCAGUGAGGGAUUGGGUUUACAGAGAGGGCUAAGGAAGGUGGCAUAGGAUCCCUUUGUCUGAAGAAAAUCCUACAGGGAUACAAAGCCUGUGGCACAUGCACAAUUAAGUGG